RNAcentral lists this long non-coding RNA (431 nucleotides) under Meleagris gallopavo (turkey). Its description in RNAcentral is "lncRNA (ENSMGAG00000020286.1)". Lineage: Eukaryota; Metazoa; Chordata; Aves; Galliformes; Phasianidae. The record is from RNAcentral.
GGAUUCACUGCUGCUUUUUUCAAUAGUGGUAUUUAACAUAAGUCUUGUUUUAUACUUGUCUUUCAUGUUUAGACAGUCGUUGAUCUGUGCAGUCAGUGCUGAACACAAAGGUAUGACAUAGUAAUAAAGGCUGAAGACAAGUGAACAAUGGGAGAUUCGGAAUACGAGGGAUUCAUUCAGCAAGAUGUUUAUCCAACUAAUCUUCACUGACAAAUGAAAGUGUUAAUUGUUUUGGGAAUUUCAGCAGCUAUAGCCUUCACAGCUGUUUUCUUCUCUUUCCUUCAGACAGAAAGUGAAGAUAACUGCAUUACUGAGGCUAUCCAGAAGGCUUCUAAUUUGGUGGAUUACGCUACACAGUAUGCUCUGAAAAGGUAAAAAAUAAAAAGUGAAUUUAUUCAGCAAAAGGCUUUCCUAAUAGAAGUUUGAUAAAA